AAACAAUGAGAAGACAAGCUAAGAGAGAGAGAGAGGGAGAGGGAGAGAUCUAGGUUAUAAUGGGGCGACGGAAGAGCAAACCUGAACAAGGUCGCAGUCGCAGAGAAGAGAGGCGCAAGAACAAAAUUGAUUACAGAUAGCGACAACUCGGAAAACCCUAGAUCCAGAUCAAGGUCUGGGUCGUGAAUGAUGACGAAGAUGAUCGUAGUGGCUUGAAACUACUCGGAAUUGGGCUUUUGGUGUUAGUUGGCAGCCCAUAUUCAUCUUUAGGGUCCAUUAACUAAGACGUCAUCGUUUUUGGAGCAUCGUCUCCUUCCUUCCCCUUUGUCUGAAAUCAGCAAAACGGAACAGAGGAGUGAGCGACUGAUUAAAGAAUCGUUGAAGCAUUAUAAUGGCGACGAGAGAGCAAACAAGUAAGAUAGAGAGAGCACAAUCGUCGCCAACGUGCUUGCGUAAGGUACACAAUAUCUCCAUAAAGCUGCAGGUUGAAAGGAAAGAGCAAGUUGAGGCGCUGUCAAAAAGAGUUGUCUCAUCGUGCGGUUGUGCCAGGAUGUACAAGGAUGGUAGCAUCAUUCCAUUAGAUGAUUCUUUGGGUUUUGCUGCAAAUUAUUCACACAUGCUGGGAUAUGGUAGUCCCCAGAUGAAAGAGCUCAUGAGGCUUUAUGUCACCAUCCACAGGUUCCGAGCCAGCCAAGCAAUGGCCCCUAUCUUGAAGGAGAUUCUGCCGUGAUCCAAGUUUUUUUUGUUUGUUCCCUUGGACCAGGAAUUUUGGGCAAUUAUCUUCGAUGGAGUUCAGGAGCCCUUUGAAGAACUAUUGCCAGAAUAUCCGGUUCGGUGAUGUGUAUAUCCCUCGGGGGUGUUUAUGUCCCAGCUCUUGACAAAGAUUGUCCCUGGCACUAGUUCCCAGCCCAAUAUAUUCUGUCAGAGGGAGGCUCAAUAACUGGGUGGUGACUUGUAAGCAGCUGGAUUCACAGUUAAUGAUCCUGUUCACACAAUGUUGCCACUUUCUCUGGAGCUUGGACCAGGAAUUUUUGGGAAAUUAUCUUCGAUGGAGUUCAUAAGGCCUUUGAAGACUAUUAUCCGGUGAUGUCUACAUCCCUCAUGGUGUGUCUGUCCCAGCUCUUGAAAAAUAUUGUCCUUGGGAGUUCUAGCUCAUGAUGAUGGUUCGAAUCUACUACUCAAAAAAUGGGAUAACAAUGAAAAGCAUUUGAGGCCUGAGAAGGAGUUACUUCAUUUCAGCUUCGUCAAAGUCUUCGUGCAGUUCAGCUACAGUUCUGCCACAGUGGGAUAUCUUCACAUAUGAUGUCUCAUGGUAACAAGUAUUUAUUUUGGAGAGCCAAGGGAAAUGCGCAUAAAGACCAAUGAAAAUGGUGAAGAAGUUGGGUUUAAUACUGUUUAUGCUACCCACUAGUAAUCUCGGGGAUGCCGAUGUCGGAGCAUAUAUAAAACAAGGAGAACAUUUUUCUUGCCCAAACAACCACUGCUGUUUUCUCAGGGAAACAAGUCGAUGAACCUUAAGAAAAGCAUCAAACUGCUAGAAAGAUAGCUAGUCUAUUGAAGAAUCCACUUUACACUCAGGCCAAAAAAAACCAGCUACAGUUGUCUCAAGCCAAAUGCAUCAGUCAUCAACGAAAUGUGCAAAAGGGAAACGAGUGUUGAAAACAUAGCACUACCAAAUCGAUUAUGGAAAGUCAAGCACCAAAAUGCAAAAGCUAGAUGAUGCAAAAUCAAGGAAAGUAAGCCAAAUUGUUACAAAAUCAGAUUGAUUCACUCUAACUAUGGUGGCGACGAAGAGAGAGGGAGAAUUAGGGUUCCUGGAGCUUCGAACUCAAACCCCCAUGGGUUCCUCCUUAUCUACCUAUCUAUGGGUCCAAGUUCUCGGUUCCGAGCCAGCAGCCUUGUUAGUCUUCUUCAAUCGGCUCUUACUUAACUCCUUUCUAAACCAGAGGAUCUUCGAAAUCUUGGUGUUGGUUUUAUGGGAUCACAGGAAGCCUUUGAAGGACUAUUGCCAGAAUAUCCGGUCCGGUGAUGUGUACAUCCCUCGGGGGUGUUUCUAUCCUAGCUCUUGACAAAGAUUGUCCUUGGGACUAGUUCCCAACCCAAACAAUUUUGUCAGAGGGAGACACAGUAACGGGUGGUGACUUGUAAGUUUAUUGGUUUACUAGGAAGCAGCUGGAUUCACAGUUACUGAUCCUGUUCACACAACGUUGGAGGCCUUAUUAUACGGUGAUGUCUACAUCCCUCAGAGUGUGUCUGUCUCAGCGCUUGAAAUAUAUUGUCCAGCCCAACAAAUCUAUUCUGUUGUCCCAGCGCUGUUGUGUAUGUUGGUUGUGGAGAGAUUAAGUGAAUUGGCUGAGGAGAUGGCCUUGUUAGCCUUCAAUCGGGCUCUUAAGCUUAUUUUUACAUCUUCUCAUAUAAUUUGGAUUAUCCGGUUCUUUGGUGUGGGUUUUACGGGAUAUUUGGCAACUUCUCUCGUCCAAAGCCUGGCGUGGUGGUUAUGCAGCUUUUGCUUUUUCAGGCUGGUAACUUCUUUCCCCCUUUAAUAUUUAUUUGGUCAUGCUUUUGAAUUUUUACUGGCUCACAAAUUAUUCAGCUCGAUAAGUCCCCAAGCUUUAUGAAGUGUUCUCCUAUAUUCUAAAUGAGCUGGGAAAGGUCAAGAACCACCCGUGGCCUAACGUUGAUGCUCAUAACGGAGUGUUGCUGAAAUAUCGGCUAACCGAAAGAAAGAUGCUACACUGUGCUUUUUUGGCUGUCUCAAGGAAUCUCAUCAUCUGCUCACAGCUGAUAUGGCCAUAUGGGACUGGGCUCUUGGACUGCAACUAGAGCGGCCAAAGAGUGUAAACAUGGAGAGGUUACAUGUCCUCCAAAAGGUGAAACUUUGCAACUUCGAUGGGCUCUUAAGCUCCUCUCUAAACCACCAGAGGGAAACGAGUGUCACAAACAUAGAUGCUGGCUAGCUCUACCAAUCCAUGAAUCAGACCAUGAGCAACGUCCAAGACGAAGAAGAAGAAGAAGAACCCUCCAGGAUAAAGAGCCGUGUUAGAACCAGUAGCUACAACACACAAAGCAAGCCUCAGAAAAUAACAAUUUACUCCUACCAAAGCAAGCACAGAGGUCAACAACAAGGCCAGUAAUCUAUGAGAUGCGGACGUCUGAGCAGAUAUAAAACAAGGACAGAGGUCAACAUCAAGGCCAGUAAUCUCAGGGAUGCGGAUGUCAGAGCAGAUAUAAAACAAGGAGACCAUUUCUUGCCUAAACCACCACUGCAGUUUCCUCAGGGAGACAAGUCGAUGGACUUUAAUAAAAGCAUAUGCUGGAAAGAUAGCUAGUCUUCUGAGGAAUCCAUUCUGCACUCAGGCCAAAGAAGUCAGCCACAGUUGUCUCAAGCCAAACGCAGUCAUCAGCAAAAUGUGUAAAGGGAAACGAGUGUUAAAAACACUGAUUAUGGAAAGUCAUGCCAUCAACAACAAGUCAGAGAAGAGAGGUAUCUUUUUUUCGUGUUUCUUCUAAAUCUAAGAUUUUGAUUUUCGUGUGAAUAUAGUUUUGUAUGUUGACGGGUUUUUGCGAUUCUGUGCGCGUGAUUUAUUGACUCUCUCUCGUUGAAUGUUUUUUGAAGAAUGAAGUAGAUUCAGAACAAAACUGUUGCCAGCUUUUUACGGUAAGAAUAUCAAACUGAUUCUGGUGAUUUCAUGGGUGAUGGUCUUCGCGACUUAACAGAUUGGAGAGUAUUUGCUAGUGUUUUAUUUAUCUGUCCUGAAGCAAAUGUUAGUCUUUACUAAUUCUGUUAUCUUGGUGGAAAUAUUUGGAGUUUAGGAUCUUUGUUAUUAGUUUGUGUCUCAUUACGCAUAUCACUUAUUGUUUGAUCUAUCUGAAAUGCUAUCUAUCUGGAUGCAAGUAAUUGUUAAAUCCAACCUGUUUUCGUCAGAACAGUGUUUGAGGUUUCGGUUUUACAGAUCCUUGUGUCGAUAUGGGUUACUAUAACAACGUAAGUGUCUUUUUGUUUUCUUUUGUAGCAGUAGCUCUACUACUUUUGAUUUCCAAGAUUUAAUGAGCUUUUGUAUAUUUGAGUGUUUAAUCAAAUAGCCAUUACUAACUGCAGAAUUGGUUAUUGGAAUCUUUAACUGCAGAAUUAGUUCCAGCCUAUCUUCCACAUGACCUCAAUCACUAAACUCAGCAUAUGGCUCUGAGCAUCUAUUGGAAUCUUUACCUCGUAAGAUGAAACAGUAAAAAGUUGGCUGAUAUAGUUAUCAAUCAUCGUGUUGGGACAACGAGAGGACAUGGUGGAUUGUAUAACCGUUAUGAUGGAACUUUCUUACCGUGGGAUGAACACGCCGUGACUUCUUGUACCGGAGGACUGGAAAGGUAUAAUCUGGUGGCUUCGUUGGCUGCGCAAAGCUGUUGGGUUUCAAGAUUUCCGUUUUGACUUUGCUAUGGGUUAUUCAGCAAACUAUGUGAAGGAAUACAUUGGAGCUUUUGUGAACCAUCCAGAAGGUCUUGUCACCUAUGAAUCUCAUGGAGAAGGAACAAAGGUAUUGCUGAGCAAGAUCUUAAAAAAAAAGGGAUGUAACUGCGCUACAUUCUUUUGUCUCCUGAGGUCAUUUCUCGUCAGGCUACUAUAAAUGAACCAUUGGACAUAUCGCUCAUGGAAAUUCCACUGUUGUGAAAGCUAUUUCUGGUGUGCAGACUGUUCGUUUUAAGAAUGAAUUGGAACAUUACCAUUAAGCUUGGAUAUGCAAAUGCCAAGAUUUACAAAUGCGAGGAUGAGAAAUGGCCUAGACCAAUGUGCUACAAGUGAGUCCUUUCUUGCAAGAGUGUUUUUCUAUCUUCUUCUUCUACUAUAAGCUUUGUGUCGAAGUCUUAACAAUUUGAGACAGAGAAGUAAAGAAAGAGUACUUUUUGAUCUUGCUGUAGUAGGAGAUGUGUUUCUUUUAUUGCCUUAGUGGACAUCAGAAUUGGCUAGCUUGAAGGGCUAGAGAAUGGCGUCAAGCAUAUGUAUCUCUAUUGAAGUGCUCAUUUGGUCUUAAUUUUGAUGGUCAAUUGAAUUCAACUUAUUUGGUUCACUUAUUAGAUUGGUUUGGUUGAUAAUAAGUGUUCAUCGUGAUGAUGCAACGGAUACUCUCUCCCUUCAACAUGUAAUCAAAUGCCUUGUUGAUCU
Non-coding RNA from Camelina sativa (false flax), 5155 nucleotides. The record is from RefSeq and is a predicted model, not a curated record. Lineage: Eukaryota; Viridiplantae; Streptophyta; Magnoliopsida; Brassicales; Brassicaceae.